RNAcentral lists this ribosomal RNA (449 nucleotides) under uncultured bacterium. Its description in RNAcentral is "bacterial SSU rRNA". It matches the Rfam family "Bacterial small subunit ribosomal RNA", at positions 328 to 794 of the family's 1533-position model. The record is from RNAcentral.
AGCCCAGACUCCUACGGGAGGCAGCAGUGGGGAAUAUUGCACAAUGGGGGAAACCCUGAUGCAGCGACGCCGCGUGAGCGAUGAAGUAUUUCGGUAUGUAAAGCUCUAUCAGCAGGGAAGAAGAUGACGGUACCUGACUAAGAAGCCCUGGCUAACUACGUGCCAGCAGCCGCGGUAAUACGUAGGGGGCAAGCGUUAUCCGGAUUUACUGGGUGUAAAGGGAGCGUAGACGGCAGUGCAAGUCCGGAGUGAAAGCCCGGGGCUCAACCCUGGGACUGCUCUGGAAACUGUAAAGCUGGAGUGCGGGAGGGGCAGGCGGAAUUCCUGGUGUAGCGGUGAAAUGCGUAGAUAUCAGGAGGAACACCGGCGGCGAAGGCGGCCUGCUGGACCGUAACUGACGUUGAGGCUCGAAAGCGUGGGGAGCAAACAGGAUUAGAUACCCCGGUACA